GGUCAGCUGAAGAUACCUGUAUUAAAAAUGUGGGCGGAAUCAACAAUGGAGGAAAUGUUUUCAGAAAUGGUUGACAUGUUCAAGAAGCACCAAGAAACAAGCGAUCAGCUUCAGCAACAGAAUCUUGAAAUUCAAGCUGGCCAAAGAGAGAUAUUAAAUAUCCUGCAAAACCCACAACAUCAAAUGAGCUAUCAACUCACAGCUGAAGACGCUCCUGUGGAAGAUUCCAGUGCUUCAGGAUUAAAAAAUGUAACUGCUAAUCAGCUGGUGUACUUUAUUCAUGAGAAUAAAAAGGAGAUCUCACUGAUUGAUAAUCCUCGCAAGCUGCUACACCGGUUAAGAGUCAAAGACUUAAUCCCAGCAAACAAAUUUCAGGUUUUAAUGGAUAUAAGAGAUGCAACAGAGAAAAGUAGAGCUUUUUAUAAGUACUUAGAGUGGUUUGAAAAUGAAAUAAUAAAAAAGAGUCGUCGCUUCUUAGAAGUAAUAUUCAAAGAUGACAUCAUUCGGCGUUACCCAACAUUAAGACAACUUAAGGACAAACUUUUGAAAGGUGCAUGCCUGUCAGAGUCAAAUGGAGGAAUUACAGAAGACAUGCAGUUAUCAGAUAUCAGUGAAGUUGCAGAAACUGGAAUAAGAGAGAUAAAAGACUGUGACAGUGUUGGUGAAGGAACAAGCAAGGGUGGUGUGGCUCCUACCAAAGAAAAACGAACUCUUCCAUCCCGGAGUGUGAAAAGCUUCCCCAGUAAAAGUGCAGGUAAUUAUAGGAAAUAUAAGGGAGAUUCUUCUUCAGCAGUAAUUAAAAAAAUUUUAAUGAAACAAACACUUCCUGUUAUCUGUAAGAAAACAAAAGGAGAAUUCUACAGAAAUGACAUUACAAAAAAAGGUGUCCCUUCUAUACAUUCUAAGAGUGUGUUGCUCUUCCCUGGUGAAUUUGAACGUUUAUCAGGAAAUGAUAAAAAUGAAAAGUCAAGAAAUUGGAAGAAGAACAUAUAUAUUGAUAUGAAAAAGCUUAUGAAAGAUUCAGAUAUGUCUGGUCAUGACCUAACCAAACUUGGCAGGAUUACACUCAAUGACUUGUUUAUGCAAACAGAACAGAAACUUCCGAAUCAGAAAGUACGCCAGCCAGUCAUUAUGGAAUAUCGACAUUUAUUUAAGAAAUGAAGUUUGUGGAUGGAUGAAACUUUUGGAAUAACCUACGGCUUGAUUUAUUGUUAUUUCCCAUAAAUUACUGGAUGCAUAGUUUUAGACUUCAACAGAAAUGAACACUGCAACACAUGAUUAAGUUUAUAUAAUGUUUAUAUUUAUCAAUACUUUCCUGCAAUUUUUUUUUAUACAGUAGCACCCCUUGGUCUAUUAGGGCUCUGGUUAUUUUUCAAGUCACUACCUCAAGAGACCAUUGAGAGGAGAAGUCUAGACUUAAAAUGUUUUAAAAUAAUCAAAAUAAUUUAAAUUAGACAGAUAGAUUAUUUCAGUGGGAACCUCACCCCAUUCCAUUCUCUCUCUCUUUCCUUUUUGCUGGUCUUCCCUGAAUUGUUAAUUCAUUUUCCAUGCUUCCUCUUUAAGUUGAAGAGGUAGUGAUGAGACCUCAGUUUAUCUAUCAAUUAGUGAAUUCACUUUUACUGUUCAUAGCCCGGCUACUGAGGCGUUAACUGCUGAUACCCUUCUUACUCUCCUUUGUAGGAUGGCUUAUGUUUUAUAGGAGUAUAAAUUUAGAUGGCAUUUAUUUUCCCAACUAAAUGUUGUUUAACUAAUUUUAGAUUAAAGGCUUUCUUUUGAGGCUUUUUGAGGUUUGUUCCAAAACUGAUUUUGGUUUAACGUGUUAAGUACAGUAUUUGGUUUAGGAUGGAUGCUCCUUCUCUUUCUCCUUUUUAGCCUUUUUGCUUUGGGUUGGUAUUUUUUAGCAUGUUAGCAAAGAUUUAUUUCAGGAUUCUCAACCUCCAGUCCUGGAG
Molecule: RNA transcript, 1949 nt
Organism: Polypterus senegalus (gray bichir)
Lineage: Eukaryota; Metazoa; Chordata; Cladistia; Polypteriformes; Polypteridae
Exons: 13
Source: RefSeq, a predicted model, not a curated record